This 759-nucleotide long non-coding RNA is filed under the name Capsicum annuum. RNAcentral describes it as "long non-coding RNA (CANN_LNC017151)". Lineage: Eukaryota; Viridiplantae; Streptophyta; Magnoliopsida; Solanales; Solanaceae. The record is from RNAcentral.
CUUCAUCUUUAAUUUUCAUCUUAAGAAAUUCAAUAAUUUCUCUCAAUUCUCAAAAAAAUUCAUCCACACUAAACUUUCAACAUCUUUUUUCUUAAAUUAGUAUGUAUUCACUAUUGUUGAAAGUUGAAUAAUUUAAAGUAUCAAGCAGAAAUCAAUCAAAAAACAACAACAAUCCCAUUAUGAUGAAGAAUUGAGUAAAGAAUUUGAGUAAUUUGAUGUAUUGACUAAAGAUUUUCGUGAAAAUCGAUCGAUAAAACAACAACAAUCCCGUUAUGAUGGAGAAAUUAAAUAAGGCACUUAAAGCACAACAUAAGAUACAUAUUUGAUUAUGUGUGAUACUUGUUUCAUAUUUUAUCUCUGAGUAUCUAACACUGUAUAAGAAUGUAUCUCUCGUAUUAUUUUGUUUGUGUAAAAAAUGCAUAAGAAAGAUACAUACUAAUAAAGCAAGAGAUUCAUAUAUAAUACUUAUAUGUAUGGUAUGUAUCUCUCGAUAUAUAAUUUUUUUGGGUUAAUUACAUAUGUGAAAGAUACAUGUUAUUACAGGAAAAGAUACAUUUAAGGUUCUUAUAUGUUUAGUAUGUAUCUCUUACAAGAUAUGUUUAUGUAGAUAUUACUGUAAAUAUAUGUAUGUUCCAAAAUAUUAUGUAUCUCUUAUAAGAGACAAGAAUAAUAUUAUAUGAAUAUUAUGUCAUUUUUUUGUGUCAACAACACCAUAUGCGAUCGAAAAUAUGCUUCCUUAUGUUGAAAAAUAAAAAUAUU